This 237-nucleotide unclassified non-coding RNA is filed under the name Hevea brasiliensis (rubber tree). Lineage: Eukaryota; Viridiplantae; Streptophyta; Magnoliopsida; Malpighiales; Euphorbiaceae. The record is from RNAcentral.
GUUUCAUUCAAAUGUACUUUGCUUGUAAAGUUUGCGUUGAAUAGUUUAUUGCAUGAUUUUUUGGACUGGAUACUCUUAUGUGGUUUAUUUAUCAAGGAAAUUCUCUGGAGAUCGGGAUGAACUAAUAAUUAAAAAAUCAUGAUAUCAUAUGCAGUAUUCAUGCUGUUGUGAUUCUAUAGUCCUGUUGCAAAUCUAGAUUUUCAUUUUUGCUAGUCUGAUCUCUCUCUUUCUCAUAUU